Molecule: ribosomal RNA, 1349 nt
Filed under: metagenome
Description: bacterial SSU rRNA
Rfam family: Bacterial small subunit ribosomal RNA
Source: RNAcentral
UAGAAUAUGAGGUUAGUGGCAAACGGGUGAGUAUAAAAUACGAAUGUACUUUGAAGCGGAGGAUAGCCCACCGAAAGGUGGAGUAAUACUCUAUAAUGUCUCCGGACUAAAGACGCAAGUCACUUCGAAAGCAGCGUAUUCGCUACCAGCUAGUUGGCGGGGUAAAGCCCACCAAGGCUAUGACGGCUACCGGCUCUUAGCGGAGAGUCCGGCACAAUGGGACUGAGACACGGCCCAUACACCUACGGGUGGCAGCAGUUAGGAAUUUUGCGCAAUGGACGAAAGUCUGACGCAGCGAUACCGCGUGAAGGAUGAAGUCUCUCGGGAUGUAAACUUCUUUUAGGGAAUCAUGAAGAUUCUCAGAAUAAGCAGCUACAAACUAUGUGCCAGCAGUCGCGGUAAUACAUAGGCUGCAAGCGUUAUCCGGAUUUAUUGGGCGUAAAGAGUCUGUAGGCGGUUGCCUAAGUCUUGUUUCAAAGACCUCGACUUAAUCGAGGAAAGGGGCAAGAUACUGGACAACUAGAGUGAUAUCGGGGUUACUGGAAUUUGUAGUGUAGGGGUUAAAUCCGUGGAUACUACAAAGAACACCAAGCGCGAAGGCGGGUAACUAGGUAUAUACUGACGCUGAGAGACGAAAGCUAGGGAAGCAAAUCAGAUUAGGGACCUGAGUAGUCCUAGCCGUAAACGAUGUCUGUUAAUUUUCCCUGAUUUAUCGGGGGAGAUGUAAGCUAACGCGUUAAGCAGACCGCCUGGGGAGUAUAGCCGCAAGGCCGAAACUCAAACGAAUUGGCGGGGAGGUGCACAACCAGUGGAGCAUGUGGUUUAAUUCGAUAAUAAGCGAUGAACCUUACCUGGGCUUGAAAUAUACCUGCAGAUCUAUGAAAGUAGAAGUCCUUCGAGGGUGGUAUACAGCUGUUGCAUGGCUGUCGUAAGCUCGUGACGUGAGUUGUUCUCUUAAGUGAGGUAGCGAGCGCAACCCCUAUUCGGUGUUAUUUUGCCACCGAAGACUGCCUAGCAUUAUUUUUGUUAGGAGGAAGGAGGGGACGACGUCAAGUCAUCAUGAUGCCUAUGUCCAGGGCUACACACAUCCUACAAUGGAUUGUACAGAGGGUUGCAAUACCGCGAGGUGGAGCUAAUCCCUAAAACAAUCCUCAGUUGGGAUUGCAGGCUGAAAUUCGCCUGCAUGAACCCGGAGUUGGUAGUAAUCGCACAUCAGCAGAGUGCGGUGAAUACGUUCUCACCUCUUGCACACACUGCCCGUCAAAUCAGCAAAGUUGGGGGGUACCCAAAGCUCAGAUUAGUCUGGGUUAAGGUAAAUCCAGCGAUGAGGGAUAAGUCGUAACAAGGUA